UCAAAAUAUUUAAUCGAAAAGUAUGUCUCCAUGCAAAAUUAUCCAUCCCUCUACAGGUGGUAUCUUAAUAUAAACACAUCUUAUUCUUAAAGUAUCAACACUAACCAUUACUAACAAUUGGUACUUAAUUAAAUAGGUUGAAGGAAGACAAGAGAGGGAGAGAAAUGAGAGGAGAGGGGAGGGGAUAGGGGAGAGAGAAUAGAGACUGAUGGAGUGAGUUUUCAGAUAAGGGUUUAAGGUACAAGUCUUGUAGAGGGAUAGGUCUUCUUUAAAAAAUAAUGUAUUCAGUAAAAAAUAGAAAUUCUUGUUAACAAUAUGAAUAUGAGUAGGGAUACAAACCAAUUUUUAUUUUUGGUAUGCAAAUCCAGUCUGAAAGUCCUUGUAUUAAAAUAAUGGGUCUAUUACAUUUCUAAAAUAUUUCCAAGUCUAAAAUUUGUGUGACCCCAGUGGCCAAUCCAGGGGUUGGGGUACGACCCCCCCCCCUUUUUUUUUUUUUUUUUUUAAAGAUAAUGCAUUUGAAUGUGGAUAUAUACAUGUAUUUAAAAUCCCCACUUUCUUCUAGGUUGGAUCCCCCUUUUUUUAAAGAUUGUUGGUUCCUCUCCUGAACCCAAAGUUCUCCCUUCCUAUUUGGUAAAGACAUAUAAGAUUGUGUUUAUAAAUACACGGAUGCCCAAUCCGCACUAUCAUUUUCUAUGUUUAGUGGACUUUAAAAAUGAAGGAAAAAACUCUAAUUUGGCAUUAAAAUUAGAAAGAUGAUAUCAUAGGGAACAUGUUACUUCUAAGUAUCAAGUUGAUUGGACUUCAACUUCACCAAAAACUACCUCAACCAAAAACUUUAACCUGAAGCUGGACAGACAAACAAACAGACGCUCAGACCAGAAAACAUAAUGCCCAUAAAUGAGGCAUAAUAAGUGUUUGCCUUGGAAAACUCCCUUAAUAAUUUGCUUAACAACAGGCAGUCUUGCCUGUCAUAAUUCAGUAACUACAAGUUAUUUAUCUUUUCUUGAAAGAUAUGACUGUUUCAACACCACUUGUAGUACUCCUACCUCUUACAAGGCUGCCAGUUUUUAUUGGUGGCGGAAGCCAUAUAAAUGGAACCUGAAAAACCACCGACCUUCAGUGUCUUUAAAUGUUGUCCAAAGUUUCUGUUGAAAUGUUUGUACUGGUUUAAGGUAUUGCUGAUUAAAAGUGUUGACGUCUGAUUAAACAAAAAAACAUCAAUUACCAAAUUGUCAUAUUCAGGGGGAGAUAAACAUAUUGAAAUAAAUCAAGGGGAGAUAAACUUACUGAAAUAAAUCCUUUUCAACAACUUUGGAUCAAUACCUUAUAAAUGGGUACUCAGAUAAUAUUUUGGGAAAGAUUUUCAGAAAAGCAAUUUAAAAAUCCGUUCAAGGUAUAUUCUCUUAAAUUUUUGAAAUAAUUGGUCCAGUGAUCAAUGAAGAAUGUAAAGAUGAUCAUGAUGUGAUAAUGCCAAUGAGAUGUGGUUAAUAUGCCAAUGAGAUGUGGUCGAUAUGUCAAUGAGAUGUGGUAAUAAAGCUAAUGAGAUGUGCUAAGAAUGCCAAUGAGAUGUGCUUAGAAUGCUAAUAAGAUGUGCUAAGAAUGCUAAUGUGAUGUGGUUAAUAUGCCAAUGAGAUGUGGUCAAUAUGCCAAUGAGAUGUGGUAAUAAAGUAAUGAGAUGUGAUAAGAAUGCAAAUGAGAUGUGGUAAAUAUUCCAAUGAGAUGUGGUCAAUAUGCCAAUGAGAUGUGCUAAGAAUGCCAAUGAGAUGUGCUAAGAAUGCUAAUGAGAUGUGGUAAUAAAGCUAAUGAGAUGUGGCAAUAAAGUUAAUGAGAUGUUGCAAUAAUGCUAAUGAGAUGUGGCAAUAAAGUUAAUGAGAUGUGGUAGUAAAGCUAAUUAAAUGCACUUAUAAGUAUGCAAAUGAGAUGUGGUAAUGAAGCUAAUGAGUUGCACUAAGAAUGCAAAUGAGAUGUGGUAAUAAAGCUAAUGAGAUGUGGUAAAAAGGCUAAUGAUAUUUGGUAAUAAAGCUAAAUAGAUGUGGUAAUAGUGCCAAUGAGAUGUGCUAAAAAUGCCAAUGAGUGGUGAUAUUUAUGCAAAUUCAAUUUGGUAAGAAUGCCAAUGAGAUGUGGUAAUAAAGCUAAUGAGAUGUAGUAAGAAUGCCAAUGAGAUGUGGUAAUAAAGCUAAUGAGAUGUAGUAAGAAUGCCAAUGAGAACUAUCCACCACAGAUAAAACCACAAGGCUGUAAGAGUUAUCUUUCUUUCAUGUGAAUUUUAUGUAUACUUUGCAAACUUUGUAAGCUCCCCUACAGCUGAUAGUUAAACAUUUCCAUCAUUUUAUGAUUUAAGUUGCCCUUUCUUUUAAUAAAAUUAUUUUAUGAAUAAACUUUUAUAAAUUAGCAAGAUGAAAAAGCUUGCUAUAAAUCUCAAAUUCAAAAUUUUCUGAAAAAAAACCUUAAAUAACCACUUGAUUUUUUUGCCAAUUUAAAAAAAAGAUAUACCAGUAAUGACACGAGGAUAGAAGAUGUGUGGAAUCAAAUAGGUAACAACUAUAGUGAUAAUGAAAUAUUCCAAUAAUAACCAGUUUUAAAUGUAUUGACUUAACAGACUUAAUGUAUGAUGUUAUAUGUGACCAGUCAGAAUAGUGGACAAUGAAAUAUUCAAAUGAUGAAACUGACUGACUUUUAGUGAAUAGACUAAAUUCAGGAUUGAACAGCCUUGGAAUUGGACCGACAAGUAAAUAUUGACACCCGCCUUGGAACCAGCAAGUGAAUUAUUGACAUUUAUAUUGAUGUGACCAGUAUUCAUGUAAAUGGACAGUACUAGUGGACUAUAAACUGAUAAAUCUCACAGAAAGGCACAUCACAACUGGGUCUGAAGCUGUUACAUGCAAAAGACGAGAUAUCCAGGAAAUUUUGAAGAAUUGUAUGUGAUCUAUAACAAGAUCUGAGGACAGUAGGACCUGGAAGUACUAUAUUACCAACUUCAAGAUUAACUGAUUGGGAAUUUACAAAUCAACUGAUAAAGAAAAAGACAAAUUUUGCCAUUUAGAUGAACUUGGAAACAAUUAUUGACAAACAAUAUAGUGUAUUAUUAUUCUUGUUGAAAUCAACAGAGAGAGAGAGAGAGGAAGGAUAGGAGAGAGUCAAUUGUAAAGAUUUAUGUCUUUUUAACCAGACAUGUCAAUUAUAUUAGAAUUUCAGAGGCCUACAGUUUUAGCAUUACAGGUGCUAAAUGGUCAUACAUGAAGUAGUUAAAGCACUUUAAUGUUAAAAUUUUGAUUUGACCAGCGAGAACAAUCAGGCAACUGCCAUUGGUUUAAAUCUCUUUUUUUGAAGAUGUUUGGUUACAUAAGAAUAAAUCUGUGUGGAACGUCAAAAAAAAAGUAAAAAAAUAAUUUGUGGUAUUUUGUACAGUUUCAUUAUGCAAUCUUGAAUGCAUUUAUGAUUACUAUUUAUAAAGAAGUAUUAAUUUAUCAUUAGAAUGAGGAUGGACAAUGUUUAAAUAUUUAUUUGAGACAGAGCUCGAGUUUUGCAUUAUUUCAUAAAAAAAAAAAUUAUUUUUCUGUUAAUGAAGAACAAACAGGGAAAACAGACAAAGCUGCUAUUCUAUGAUUUUCAAAUUGUAUUUAUUUACAUUUGAUUGAUUAGUUGAAGAUUAACUACAAGUAUUCAGCAUAGUACAAAAUUAAGGAUGCACUGCAAGUGUAUCUUUAUAGUUAUCAUCACACUAUGUCCAAUCUAGAUGUACAACACUCUUUUUUAUAGUGUUCUGUAAAUUAUCAGGAACACCAGUUGUGAUGAAUGGAAAGACUGGCAGGCUGAGAUUAUACAAGGGGAGGGAAUACCCCUGCUUAUUUUUUCAUACUGGUUAGUUCCUUUGGUAAAGGUUUUGUACAAUUUUUAGUUCAUAUCAGGUGGAUUCGUUUUGAAGAGAGUUGUUAUUUAGAGCUCUGUAAAAAAAAAAAAAUAAGAAUUGUAAACAGAGUUCUAGAUAAUAACUGGGUGGUAUGAAAU
Long non-coding RNA from Mytilus trossulus (common blue mussel), 4008 nucleotides. RefSeq lists it as uncharacterized. NCBI's taxonomy places the organism in Eukaryota, Metazoa, Mollusca, Bivalvia, Mytilida, Mytilidae. The record is from RefSeq and is a predicted model, not a curated record. The transcript is spliced from 3 exons.